RNAcentral lists this ribosomal RNA (292 nucleotides) under uncultured bacterium. RNAcentral describes it as "partial 16S ribosomal RNA". It matches the Rfam family "Bacterial small subunit ribosomal RNA", at positions 505 to 796 of the family's 1533-position model. The record is from RNAcentral.
GUGUCAGCAGCCGCGGUAAUACGGAGGUGGCGAGCGUUGUUCGGAAUUACUGGGCGUAAAGGGCGCGUAGGCGGGCGGGGAAGUCGCGUGUGAAAGCCCCGGGCUCAACUCGGGAACGGCGCGCGAGACUCUUCGUCUUGAGUCCCGGAGAGGCGGGUGGAAUUCCUGGUGUAGCGGUGAAAUGUGUAGAGAUCAGGAGGAACACCGGUGGCGAAGGCGGCCCGCUGGACGGAGACUGACGCUGAGGCGCGAAAGCGUGGGGAGCAAACGGGAUUAGAUACCCGGGUAGUCC